Molecule: regulatory RNA element, 42 nt
Organism: Actinophytocola sp.
Lineage: Bacteria; Bacillati; Actinomycetota; Actinomycetes; Pseudonocardiales; Pseudonocardiaceae
Rfam family: L31-Actinobacteria ribosomal protein leader
Source: Rfam
CCGGCUCCGGUUCACCCCGCACCUGUCGGGGACCCGGCGGCC